GUGAGUCAUCGAAUCUUUGAACGCACAUUGCACCUACCAGUAUUCUGGUAGGUAUGCCUGUUCGAGCGUCAUUUCAACCCUCAAGCUUUGCUUGGUGUUGGGGUCCUACGCCUCGCGCGUAGGCCCUUAAGACUAGUGGCGGACCUUUUGUGAUCCCGAGCGUAGUAAUUAUUACCGCUUUGGAGAGCUGGAGGGACCUAGCCGUUAAACCCCAUAUUCUCAAGGUUGACCUCGGAUCAGGUAGGAAUACCCGCUGAACUUAAGCAUAUCAAUAAGCGGAGGA
This 283-nucleotide unclassified non-coding RNA is filed under the name Sordariales sp. RNAcentral's name for it is "partial contains 5.8S ribosomal RNA, internal transcribed spacer 2, and large subunit ribosomal RNA". The stretch from base 1 to 71 matches the Rfam family "5.8S ribosomal RNA", at positions 84 to 154 of the family's 154-position model. Lineage: Eukaryota; Fungi; Ascomycota; Sordariomycetes; Sordariales. The record is from RNAcentral.